Molecule: ribosomal RNA, 482 nt
Filed under: uncultured bacterium
Lineage: Bacteria
Description: partial 16S ribosomal RNA
Rfam family: Bacterial small subunit ribosomal RNA
Source: RNAcentral
AUUGAACGCUGGCGGCAUGCUUUACACAUGCAAGUCGAACGGUAACAGGCCGCAAGGUGCUGACGAGUGGCGUACGGGUGAGUAAUGCAUCGGAACGUGCCCAGUCGCGGGGGAUAACUACUCGAAAGAGUAGCUAAUACCGCAUACGAUCUAUGGAUUAAAGCGGGGGACCGUAAGGCCUCGCGCGAUUGGAUCGGCCGAUGUCAGAUUAGGUAGUUGGUGGGGUAAAGGCUCACCAAGCCAACGAUCUGUAGCUGGUCUGAGAGGACGACCCGCCACACUGGGACUGAGGAACGGCACAGACUCCGACGGGAGGAAGCAGUGGGGAAUUUUGGGCGAUGGGCGAAAGCCUGAUCCAGCAAUGCCGCGUGCAGGAAGAAGGCCUUAGGGUUGUAGACUGCUUUUGUACGGAACGAAACGGCUCUGGUUAAUACCCGAGGCUAAUGACGGUACCGGAAGAAUAAGCACCGGCUAACUACGUG